RNAcentral lists this long non-coding RNA (2653 nucleotides) under Megachile rotundata (alfalfa leafcutting bee). Its description in RNAcentral is "uncharacterized LOC100880824, transcript variant X2". The record is from RNAcentral. Lineage: Eukaryota; Metazoa; Arthropoda; Insecta; Hymenoptera; Megachilidae.
UACGGGAACUCGUUGACUAUUUCUCCUGCAAACGAAACGAAAAUAGCGACGAGAAGAUGAGAAGAAAAUAUUCAAAGAAACGCGAGACAUUUGAGCGUGAGCACGUUCCGAUUUUCUAACUAGGUUCUCUGUAAUGAUUCAUUGUUUUUGAUCGAGUUAAAUAGUGUACAAAAUUUCGAGUAAAGUCGAUCGCACGCGCGGAGAAGAAAAAUAUAAGCUUCGAUUGACGCAUCUGACAGUAUCAUUUCUUUAAUCAUUUUUCAACUCUGUUUAGUUCUAUUUUGUUCUCUACCGCUUCUUUUAAAGUCAGCUUCGAUUUACUCAAUGAAACGCGUUCGAGAUUUCGAGCGACAAAUGUUCGCGACUUUGUAAGUUUAAAAAAUCUCGUUGAUGCAUAAUACAGAUUUUGAAAUCACCUCGAUUGUCUCACGGGGAAAAAGCACGCGUUUUUCAUGUAGUUUCACACGUAAUUAUUUUCGCCGAAGUUUUGCUUGUCAGUAGUAGAGGUUCGCGUUAGGUCAGCCCACUGGGAAAUCCCUCUUUCUUUCGGCAUUUUAUCAACUUUUCGCUUUCUCGUGAUUUUUAUACUCCUUUAUCCUUUUGUUCGACAUUGCGUCACGAUUAUUUAACCUUGUCCGAAACUUUUAAUCGUCAGACACGAUUUAAGAGAUUUCUCUGGUAGCUUCUUUAAUCGCCUCGGUUUUUCUUUGCUCAUCCUAUUAAUAUCGAGUUUCAAUCGUGCUUUCCGUUUCGUUUCCCUUUUAUGACUUCACCGUUCUCGAAGAGGCGCAACAAGUUCUCGCCACGUUCGGUGAAUUUGGAUUCGAUUAUUCCAUUUGUUUCUUUAUUUGCACGAGUGGGCGGGUGGUAUCUGACGCUUAGAGUUUUGCCGGGGAUUUCUACAACGAUAACAGUAUCAUUUAAUUUCUUGGCUAAGUGGUCGUGAUGCGAACGAUUCCGAAUCAUUACGGUUCGUUCGCGAUAAUUAAACGAUUUGGAAAAUGCGAGACACGCUCGUUUAUGCGAUACUUACGAUCACGUUCUCCAGUAGUUUCUACAAUUUGCUAUACCAAUUGUUCUGCAAUUAAGUAUUUGUGUAUAAUUUCGAACAGAGGAUGAUUUUGUGAAAUAAAUUUGAUCGUAGUCAAAACAGCCAUGUCUAGGGUCAUCAAGAAUUUUCAAUCGAAUACCUCGAUUUAUUUUUGUCGAAGCAACUCGAGCAACAUUAAAUUUUCGUUUAUUUAGCUAAAUGAAAUUCUCGGCAUCGAUAUCGGUAACUCUCAUGGCAGUCGACAGGUUAAACACGAAACGCCCUCUUAUUCUUUUCCCGCCUCCUCCCCUCGCUUCUUUCAUCAAUUUUUCACCGUGCAAUCUUACUCCCUUACCCUCCGUGAACUUAUCGCCAGGAUUUAUAGAACGUGGACAUUCUAAUACGCGAUAUCGAUUUACCAUCGACCGAAAUGCCAAUGUGCCAAUUAGAAAUGUCCACGCGUUCCAUUCACUUUCGCCGAUGAAAACGAGCCGAUUCGAAAGCAACGAAAGUAAGAUGCAAGAGAGGAUCCAUGACAUCCUCGGGAGAGGAUGCAGUCUAGCGUGGAACUUCUUCCAACAGGGUGAUCGAACGUAAAAGUCGAGAUGUCGAGUAAACCGGAUCAGGCCACUGUGUUACUCUCGAUGAACAAUACUUCGUAUUGAUUAGAAAGUAGAUAAUAUGCACGAGACUCGCAUACGGCGUGUAUGCACUUUCUGUGGGAGUUUGUAUCGCUGGAGCGUUUUAGUCGAAGGCAAUUAUAAAGACGUCGUUCUGCUGACAAUCGGACAACUGGCGAAGUUAGGAUGAUGAAAAGACAACUGGCAGAUCGAGUGGCAAGGUCUUUAAUAGAUUGCUUAAUCGUUUUUGGGACCUACUUUUGAUGCGACCCAGAGGAGAAAGUAAGAGGAGUAAGCUUUGCGGUCGCGUGCUCGAGAAAGUUGUUUCGCUUACACGUGGACCAAAGAACAUCCAUUACCGUUCUUAGCCUGAAAAGUGGAGUAAAAGGAAAAUUAACGUGCUUUUUAUGCAUUCGGAAGCGUAAAAGAAAGUGGAGUUUACUGUUCGGGUCAUCAGUACGACAUUAAAGACUUUUUCUUUGACUUUAGAUUAGUCGCAUUAUUUGGAAGAUUAAAUUGAGUUUCAAAAUUGGCGCACUUUGACGACGCCAACGCCAUCUGACACAGAAUCGUCGAAACUGAUUGGUAACUUCAAGAGUAUUGACAGUCGAUAAGGAGUACAUAGUUUCGAUAAUUACCAACAGUAGCGCUAUUGUCUAAUUCGAAGGAAUUUGAAAUUGACAAUGCAAGGAGCGGUACAUUUUAAUUAUAUUUUAUUUGAAAAAUAUCUUAAAUAUUUAAAAAGGUAAUUUUACAAGGUUCUGAGAAUAUUUAGUUCUAAAUGCAAGGUAUGUAAACUAAUUGCGGAAGAUGAAUAAAUAAGCUAAAAUCCUGCCAUGUCAAGAAUAUUUGGAAUCAACACACGCAGAGAGGAAAAAUUAAUAUACAAAAAUAAUGCUAUACAGAAUAGUUUAAUAUAUUAUAAUAUUUUUCAUACUUAAACUUUAGACUGAUAUGUGUACUGUUGUAAAAGGAAAAUGUAGUAAGAACAAGAUAAAAAUAA